Molecule: long non-coding RNA, 469 nt
Organism: Thunnus maccoyii (southern bluefin tuna)
Lineage: Eukaryota; Metazoa; Chordata; Actinopteri; Scombriformes; Scombridae
Exons: 2
Source: RefSeq, a predicted model, not a curated record
CAGACUUCCUGCUAAGACUUUUCUUGUGCUUGUGGAGGAAAAACUGUUGAAGUGCGGCAGGUAAAAUGAGUUUCCACUUCAGGUUCCUGGAACUAAAUGCUGGCGCAGCUCAGGAGGUGAUACUAAAUAAGGAUCGUGAUUGGUCACGCAGAUGUGUCAUCACAUUACAACAAGAGCAACUACAACAAACACAAUGUCUCGAAGAAAUGGUUAUAUAACACGCUGGCACAAACAGUGCAGGGAUCACAAUGCACACAGCGGAGCAAACCAAAAAACUACAAAGUGCACUGGAUGCCUUUGCAAGCCCCAGUAGUGCCCUGCAGUCUCUGUCAUUGUAUACACUCUCAAAUCUUAAAUCUCCCGUUCACAUAAACGUGACAGGAAAUUUCUUCUUCUGUUGUUGUCUGUUCCACAACUGUUUACUUCCCUCACCUAUGGUAUGUCUGAAAUAAAAGAAAUUGGGUACACA